Molecule: transfer RNA, 73 nt
Filed under: Stegodyphus mimosarum
Lineage: Eukaryota; Metazoa; Arthropoda; Arachnida; Araneae; Eresidae
Rfam family: tRNA
About the family: Transfer RNA (tRNA) molecules are approximately 80 nucleotides in length. Their secondary structure includes four short double-helical elements and three loops (D, anti-codon, and T loops).
Source: Rfam by way of RNAcentral
GUCUUCGUGGUGUAGUGGUCAACACACUCGGCGGGUAUUCGAGAGGUCCGUGUUUCGAGUCCCGUCGAGGGCA